CCCGGCUCUGCCCAGUUCACACUGGAGUGGCUCACCCCACCCCUCAGACAGCAGUGGGAACAAGAAUCACCCUUCAUUCGGCCUCACAGAGUGAGCGCCCACCUGUGCCAGGCUCCAGGCACAAGGCUGAGUGGACCCCAGGCCCAGCCGUUAUGAGUGUCCAUCCUGGUCCAGAUGCACACCUCGCAUGUGCACACCGGCACAUCAGAUCAACCUCACUCCUAGGGCCGUAGUUAGCUAACAUUUUCGGAGCGCCUACUAUGAGCAGGCACUACAUGGAUUGACUUGUGUAAGUCUACAUCCUCAGAGGUGGGGGCUAACAAUGAAACUCCAUUUUACAGACAAGAAAACUGUAUACAGCAAGGUGAAGCAAAACCAGCCCCCGGACUGUCAAACUACACUGCCCUGCCCCACAAGCACACCCUCCCAGGAUGGUGAGGGGGAUGGUUUCUAGGUGAUUCAAGUGCAUUACAUUUAUUGUGCACUUUAUUUCUAUCAUUACAUUGUAAUCUACAAUGAAAUAAUUUUAUACAACUCACCAUAAUGUAGAAUCAGUGGGAGCCCAGAGCUUGUUUUCCUGAGACUAGACGGUCCCAUCUGGGAGUGAUGGGAGACAGUGACAGAUCAUCAGGCAUUAGUUAGAGUUUCAUAAGGAGCAUACAUCCUAUAUCCCUCCAAUGCAGUUCACAACAGGGUUCAAGCUCCUAUGAGAAUCUAAUGCCACCGCUGAUCUGAUAGGAGGCGGAGCUCAGGCAGUAAUGCUAGCAAUGGGGUGCGGCUGUAAUACUGAUGAAGCUGCUCACCUCCGGCUGUGCAGCCCAGUUCCUAACAGACCACGGACAGAUCCUUAGAGGUAGCACUGUGCAGAGACAACCCUUGGCUGGAUGACACUCCAAAUGGCCGAGUGUCCCAGUGAGCCUGAAGCAGGACUGGCUCCCGCACAACCAUUUCCAAAGGCCUCAGCACCCCUGCUCACAGGCAGAUCACAGCACCCCCUCCCGGCAGCGUCGGCAGGUACCCCUUGGCUUCUGGCGUGGGCGGGGCCCUGGUCUCAGGUCUCCACUGAACCUUAGUCCUAUGCUGGGCCCGUAAUUGAAGCUCGGCCAAGAUGUGCUAGUUGGGUGGGUGUGCAGAGCAAUGAAUCCCAUCCCUGGUGACAGGUCCUCUGCACCAGACACAGGGCCACAUGCCUUUGGGGGACAUGAAGGAGCUCUGGAACAGGGGACGCUGUGAGCCCCAGCCCUGGGAUGUGGGAGAAGAGUAGGGAGGCCAUGCAGGCCUGCUGUGAGGAAGUAGAGACCCACACGGCCUGGGAAGUGCCUCUUGUGUGGGCGUGCACACACGCUCCCACAGGAACACCAUGCGCAACAUGCAGGUGUGCAUGGGCCAAGACCACCCACCCCCACAGGACCACACCCUCAGGCACACACUCGCAUCCUUCCACAUUCCGAAAAGGAAGCGGGGUCUGAUCGGGGCAGCACUGGGCCUGGCUCUGAGUCACGGACGGGACCCAGCCUCCCAGAAACAACCCUGUUCAGCUCUGGAGCGAGGUCCCUGUCUGGGAAAAGACGCCAGCCCAGGGAGAACUGGGGCCAAGAGAGCAGCCUUUGUGGGGAGGGUCAGACCUGCCCCUUCCGGCCGCUGGCCCCUCUGCCCAUUCACUUCCCAAACCCCAAGGGCACAAGGAAACGUGAGGUCCAAGCAGGCUCCCGGGUAUCAGAUGAGACCAGAUGCUGGGUUGUUGUUUUUUAAAUAU
Molecule: long non-coding RNA, 1756 nt
Filed under: Homo sapiens (human)
Lineage: Eukaryota; Metazoa; Chordata; Mammalia; Primates; Hominidae
Description: HSALNT0035927
Source: RNAcentral